This is a long non-coding RNA of Micropterus dolomieu (smallmouth bass), 500 nucleotides long. RefSeq lists it as uncharacterized. Lineage: Eukaryota; Metazoa; Chordata; Actinopteri; Centrarchiformes; Centrarchidae. The transcript is spliced from 3 exons. The record is from RefSeq and is a predicted model, not a curated record.
AUAAAUAACACUUCUUCAAGUUACCGUCGGUAAAUGUCCUGUGUUUGUAAUUAGAAUCAUUUCAAUGAUUUUGCCAUGGCAGACGUGGAGACCAGCUGAAGGCGUGCUCUGGCCAGCGACAUGCCUGGGAUUGGUUUGCCCGGGCAGACAGUGAAUCAUGCAGAGGGUCUUGGGAGUUCUGGAGAUCCAAAGCUCCUUGAUUAUCCCUUUCACUCAGGCUGGAUGUAGACUGGAUGUGGUGGCUGGUCUAAAAGACCAGAUCAGCCCCGCUACAAAGGGGACCCUAAGCCCCAGGGCUGCUAACCCAGCUUUAUUCAAACUGGCUUACUGACAGAACUUGGUAUGUGGAGGUGUAGACACAAGCUCCUCAACACGAUACUUUUCCUAGUACACAAUCACCUGGUACACAAUAGUUUACACUGAUGCUACUAAAGUGGAAAGCUGAAUGAGGAGUCAUCUCUUUGGGCUCCACGCAUACUUCUCACGAGGCUCCCUCGUCU